AUUGAACGCUGGCGGCAGGCCUAACACAUGCAAGUCGAACGAGAGGCGGACGGGUGAGUAAUGUCUGGGAAACUGCCUGGUGGAGGGGGAUAAAUACUGGAAACGGUAGCUACAACCGCAUAACAUCAUAUGUGCCCUGAUGGGAUUAGCUUGUUGGUGGGGUAACGGCACACCAAGGCGACGAUCCCUAGCUGGUCUGAGAGGAUGACCAGCCACACUGGAACUGAGACAGUGUCCAGACUCCUACGUGAGGCAGCAGUGGGGAAUAUUGCACAAUGGGCGCAAGCCUGAUGCAGCCAUGCCGCGUGUAUGAAGAAGGCCUUCGGGUUGUAAAGUACUGUCAGCGGGGAGGCGUUACCCGCAGAGGAAGCACCGGCUAACUCCGUGCCAGCAGCCGCGGUAAUUC
This 406-nucleotide ribosomal RNA is filed under the name uncultured bacterium. RNAcentral describes it as "partial 16S ribosomal RNA". It matches the Rfam family "Bacterial small subunit ribosomal RNA", at positions 30 to 526 of the family's 1533-position model. The record is from RNAcentral.